This 1632-nucleotide long non-coding RNA is filed under the name Phaseolus vulgaris (common bean). RNAcentral's name for it is "long non-coding RNA (PVUL_LNC002699)". The record is from RNAcentral. Lineage: Eukaryota; Viridiplantae; Streptophyta; Magnoliopsida; Fabales; Fabaceae.
AAUAAAAUAAAAUAAAAAUUAUAUCAUAUGCAAGAAUACAAUUUAUAUCACGCACACAGCAUAUCAAGCUGACAUUUUAAAGUUUACAAUCAGAAAAGGAUGGCAUUUUUUUAUGUAAUACACACAUAACUCAGUCCUUACAGAGUCACAUAACACAUUAAGCCCAUUUGAGCACACCAAAAUGUGAAUGGAUAAGAAUGGUCUUAUAUGUGCUGAAUGGGUUUGCCAAAUAGUGCUUCAAGUAGUAGAAGAGAGACAAGCUUUCUAACUCACUGCCUUCAAAUUCCAACAAAUGAGCGAGCCUCCCUUGUUGUCCUCAAACAGGAGAGCAUAGAACAUAGAGAAUUGUGAGAGAAGUGAGAAAAUAAUGUCUUUGAGUGAAGAGAUGGAGACUUCAACAUAGACAAGAAUGGCAAAAGAGAAGUGACAAAAUCGUGACCUGAUGUGAAGAGAGAACUGUGAGAACAAUGUACUAAUCCUGUGAGAGAAAAGACAAUACCCACAAUCGCGAUUGAGUGUCACUUUUGUUCUGAAAUUUUAUGGCUCGUAGAAGUCUCAAUUAAUAUUAGUAUCGCGAUUUUGAGCUAUUCUUCACGAGCCUGUGCAAGUUUACACUAGAACGAUUUUGCAUGCGAGUUGGAUAGAUGUGAUAACCAUGCUCCCAAGUCAUCAAUUAGGUCUGAAUAUUUUGACCUUUUGUUAGUUUGUAAAUUAUCAUAUAUGCAUCUUUUAUCAUUUGCAUUCCAUAUCUGUUCUAUCACAAUCAGCUAUUGUAUUUUACACUUUUGAGUCAGCAUACUCCAAUGUGUUUUUAUUGCUAUUGUUUCGUUAUAUCUAACUUAAUUGGAGAACUAUGUCCUCAUUGUUCAUUAUCUAUGUAGUAAUUUGAUCGUGUUUACCUUUUGCUUUGGAAGAAAAUCUUUGACCAGAAAAUUGUGUGGAUCCACACAGGUGCUUAAUUUGAUCGUAGCUGACCUGUUUCAAGGGCAUCCAAUGAGUGAAAGGAAGCUCAAGGAACUUCUUGGUCACACUCCAUCUCAAGUCUUUGCUGGUGCUCUGCUUGGCUUUUUAGUAGCUUGUUUCUGUUGUCAAGCUGGUGUAGUGGGAGUUUAGGUGAUUCCAUUGUCAGUUUUGGUCAAACUGUAUUGAUAUCAUUGUUUGCCCUGAUGUUGCCUUCUGGUAUAUGACAUGGCCUGCUUAACCAGUACACUGUAUCUAAAGGACAAAUAAUAAACCUGAGUAGAUGUAAAUGAGAUUUUUUUUUUCUUCAGUCUCUUACACUUAGAAGGCUCACCAUUAAAUUUCCAAAUGGAAUAAAAUUCUUGAGACAUCAACCUUGCCUGAAUUACUCCACUCUCUCCUUGAAUGUUUACCUUCCUACUUUAUACAUAAAGCCCGGGUACAAGUUUUGGGAGCAAAUUUAUAACCUACUCUACAUAAAGCAUUGUGGAGCUAUGACAAGAAAUUCUUAAAAACUUAUUAGUUGAAAAGAGGACUUUAUAUCAGUUAAGAAGUCUUUUGAGAGUUGACAUAUUUAAGUAAAUGAUAACAAUAAUAGUGUCAUUAUUAUCAUAUUAAACUUGUACACUAACUUUACAAGAUAAUACAUUAUGGUAGUAUGUUGAACUAUCU